UAUUUGCAGCCGUAUUGAGGUUGUGUGCCGGUAGUUUGCCGGCCGCAUUAAAAGGGAAUUAGGUUAAAAUCCUAAGCUGUACCCGCAACUGUAAGCUGUUUCGCUUGUUAUCAUUCUUCAAACCACUGUUUUUUUACGGGAAGGUCGAUAACAGGACGCAAGCCAGGAGACCUGCCCAAUGCAUCGAGUAACA
Molecule: non-coding RNA, 193 nt
Filed under: Flavobacterium suncheonense
Lineage: Bacteria; Pseudomonadati; Bacteroidota; Flavobacteriia; Flavobacteriales; Flavobacteriaceae
Source: RNAcentral